Non-coding RNA from Oryza glumipatula, 205 nucleotides. The record is from Rfam. NCBI's taxonomy places the organism in Eukaryota, Viridiplantae, Streptophyta, Magnoliopsida, Poales, Poaceae.
AAUAAGUGCAGUUUUAGCACUGUCCAUGUCUAACGUUUGACUGCUCGUUUUAUUUAAAAAAGAAAAUAUGAUUAGUAUUUUUAUUAUUAUUACAUAAUAAAACAUUAGUACUUUGUGUGACUAAUUUUUUUAAUUUUUUCAUAAAUUUUUCAAAUAAAACGAACGGUCAAAACGCUAAACACGGAUAUCUAUGGCUGCACUUAUU